This 1341-nucleotide long non-coding RNA is filed under the name Nicotiana benthamiana. RNAcentral describes it as "long non-coding RNA (NBEN_LNC029679)". The record is from RNAcentral. Lineage: Eukaryota; Viridiplantae; Streptophyta; Magnoliopsida; Solanales; Solanaceae.
AUCCACUGAAGCUUCUCUGCUCAGAAAAGCCUGAUCAGAAUUGCUAGUUUCAACUGUCGGACAGUUGUUCCAGGUAAAGCCUGGUGGUAAUUCAUCCGCUGAAGCCUCUCUGCUCAGAGAAGCCUGAUCAGAAUUGCCAGUUCUUCCUGUCGGACCUUUAUUCCGGAUAAAGCCUGGUGGUAAUUCAUCCGCUGAAGCCUCUCUGCGCAGAGAAGCCUGAUCAGAAUUGCCAGUUCUUCCUGUAGGACCUUUAUUCCAGGUAAAUCCUGGUGGUAAUUCAUCUGCUGAAGCUUCUCUGAUCAGACAAGCCUGAUCAGAAUUGCCAGUUCUUACUGUCGGACCAUUAUUCCAGGUAAAGCCUGGUGGUAAUUCAUCCGCUGAAGCUUCUCUGCUCAGAGAAGCCUGAUCAGAAUUGUUAGUUCCUACUCUUGGACCUUUAUUCCAGGUAAAGCCUGGUGGUAAGUCAUCUGCUGAAGCUUCUCUGGCCAGAGAAGCCUGGUUGGAAUUGCCAGUUCUUAAUGUCGGAUCUUUAUUCCAGGUAAAGCCUGGUGGUAAUUCAUCCGCUGAAGUUUCUCCGCUCAGAUCUUUGUUCUGGAUAAGUAUUUCCUUUCCCCAGCCUGGUGGUAAUUCAUCCGCUGAAGCAUCUUUGCUCAGAGAAGCCUGAUCACACUGAAGCUUCUCUGGUCGGAGAAGCCUGAUCGGAAUUGCCAGUUCCUAAUGUCGGACCUUUAUUCCAGGUAAAGCCUGGUGGUAAUUCAUCCGCUGAAGCUUCUCCGCUCAGAUCUUUGUUCUGGAUAAGUAUUUCCUUUCCCCAGCCUGGUGGUAAUUCAUCCGCUGGAGCUUCUUUGCUCAGAGAAGCCUGAACAGAAUAGCCAGUUCCUACAAUAGGAUCUUUGUUCGGGGCAAGUAUUUCCUUUUCCCAGGCUGGUCGUAAUUCCUCCGCUGAAGCUUCUCUGCUCAGAGAAGCCUGAUCAGAAUUGCCAGUUCCUGCAGUAGAAUCUUUGUUCGGGGAAAGUAUUCCGUUGUCCCAGCCUGGUGGUAAUUGAUCUGCUGAAGCUUCUCUGCUCAAAGCCUGCUCAGAAUUGCCUGUUCCUACUGUAGGAUCUUUGGUCGGGGCAAGUAUUUCCUUUUCCCAGGUUAGUGGUAAUUCCUCCGCUGAAGCUCCUCUGCUCAGAGAAGCCUGACCAGAAUUGCCAGUUCCUACUGUCAGAUCUUUGUUCGAGGCAAGUGUUUCCUUUCCUAAGCCUGGGGGUAAUUCAUCGACUGAAGCUUCUCUGCUCAGAGAAGCCUGAUCAGAAUUGCCAAUUCCUACUGUCGGAUCUUUGUUCUGGGCAAGUAUUU